RNAcentral lists this long non-coding RNA (244 nucleotides) under Setaria viridis. RNAcentral describes it as "long non-coding RNA (SVIR_LNC006350)". The record is from RNAcentral. Lineage: Eukaryota; Viridiplantae; Streptophyta; Magnoliopsida; Poales; Poaceae.
AGAAAGAUCAUGCUAGCUAGGUACGGGGCCUAUUGCCUACUUGGACAAGAAGUAUGAACUACUCGGAAUUGGAGACACCAGGAGCACUAAAUAAACCCGAGGUGGAGGAUGCAGCGCAGAUCCACCAAAAGGAACUGAUUAUGUCGAGAAGAAAUUCAGUUCCUUGUAGCAUCAUCAGUUUGUGGCAAAAAGCCACAAAGGGCCAAGCAGAGGCUUAUGACGAAAUUAUGGUAAGAAGAGGAUC